Molecule: long non-coding RNA, 707 nt
Filed under: Equus caballus (horse)
Lineage: Eukaryota; Metazoa; Chordata; Mammalia; Perissodactyla; Equidae
Description: lncRNA (ENSECAG00000056054.1)
Source: RNAcentral
AGAAAUCAGUGGGAAAUUGAAGUCCAGAUUCAUGGUUCCCAGUCACGAUGUGUGAUAUUGGGUCUCUUCAUACAUUAUAUUACCUUCCUGGACUUUUUCUGAGUUUGGGAUCCCUGCAGUGGAGAGCUCGGGGAUGGGUAGCAGGGAGGAUCCAUAUCAGUUUUUUGAUGUUCUUUUUAAGAAAAAAAGAAAAACCAUGGCAGAAAGAAGAGGAAGAGAAAGGAAAUUUCACAACUGUGGAAGGUGGCAGAGGCCAGUAUCGGAGAGUGACGAUCAAGCGUAAGGUGCCUCCUGGACUAACGGUAGCUGGAGAAGCGUGUACCAUCUAUGAGGAUGCUGACAAUUCUGACCUGUAGGACAGUCAGGUUACAAAAAGGAAGGUUACCUUGAUUACUGAUAUGGAACUACCUGAGUGUCUGCUGAUGUGGGGCCCAGCUGUCCUGGCAGAGAUUUUUCCAGCAUGGAGAGCCUCGAAACCACAGAUGCAGGCAAGUCUGUGCUGAAGAACCUGACAAGAGGGGACAGCAGAGGCCGCUUUCCAUAGAGCUAUAUAGCUUAGCAUAGAAAGAUAGAUCCAGAGUUGAAAAUUCUGAAUUAGAUCCAGUUGGAAAGUCUAGAUUAUUACCCAGUUUCAUCUCUUCUAAGUUUUCUACAAUGCGUUGAUAAUUGGUGUCUCUGCCUUACUAUUUCUUGAGCUGGGAAGAAGC